UCUGGUGAUUCAUCGGAGAGGCCACACCUGUUCUCAUUCCGAACACAGAAGUUAAGCUCUCUUGAGGCGAUGAUACUCCUUGUGGGGAAAGUAGCUAAUCGCCAGAA
This 107-nucleotide ribosomal RNA is filed under the name Candidatus Yonathbacteria bacterium. Lineage: Bacteria; Candidatus Yonathiibacteriota. The record is from RNAcentral.